AUAUUGACAAUUGCAAUAUUGAAUUUGACAUUCAUUGUACUUAAUUUCUUGGACAGCGUGAUUGCUUCACCGGUGCAAUUAUUUCUACAAAGUCCACCAAGAACUAUAGAGUAUGUAUCAAUGCACACACUUACUCCAGAUUCAACCAUCUCAUUAAACUUCACCUUUGCAGCAACAGUUCGUCCAGCCAGAAAUAAUCCAUCCAGUAUGACGUUAUAA
RNAcentral lists this ribosomal RNA (219 nucleotides) under Triticum aestivum (bread wheat). Its description in RNAcentral is "partial small subunit ribosomal RNA". Lineage: Eukaryota; Viridiplantae; Streptophyta; Magnoliopsida; Poales; Poaceae. The record is from RNAcentral.